GAAAAACACUUGUCAUUCCUAGCUUUCUGUGUUCCUCUUUUGUUCCAGCAGAGCUUUGGUUGUACUACUCUAAUACCCAUACAACACUGCUUUCCUUAGAGCCACAGCUACUGCUGAGAACUCAAAAACUUCUUCCUUUCCGGUGAACACGUCUAGACUUGGGCUGGGGAUGGGAUGAAGAUCUCUAACACCUUCCUGGAAAUCAAGAAGUGCAAAUAGUCCAGGCUGACGGGCAAUGGCGGGAUCAUGGCUCAGUGCAGUUUCGAUCUCCUGGGCUCAAGUGGUCCUCCCACCUCAGCCUCCCAAGAAGUUGGGACCACAGGAGGGGGCCACCAUACCCGGCUAAUUUUUUUGAUGUUUUGUAGAUAUAGGGUCUCCCUAUGUUGCCCAGGUUGGUCUCUAACUCCUGAGCUCAAGUGUUCUGCCCACUUCAGCCUCCCAAAGUGCUAGGGUGAAAGGCCUGAGUCACCACUGCCAGCCAAUUGCUGAAGUUUUUGGAAAAGAAAAUUCUUGUCUGAUCCAUGGGAGUUGCUUCAAAGGCCACAGGAUUCUGCUGCAAAUUCUAACAGGAGGAGGCAAUGGCAGCCCUUACUAAAACCGCAGAACUACAGGAAGAGGAUCCCUGAGUGGGAUUCCUGUGUGAAAGGCAUUUUCACCUUUUUGUGUAUCUUCAGAAUCUUAACUUUCAUGAGAGAAGAAUAGAAAUGCAACAAUGGAACAAUCCACUGUAUACACGUAGCUGACAAUUUAAUAAACUUGAAGGAAAUGCUACAG
Molecule: long non-coding RNA, 774 nt
Filed under: Homo sapiens (human)
Lineage: Eukaryota; Metazoa; Chordata; Mammalia; Primates; Hominidae
Description: HSALNT0045410
Source: RNAcentral